UCAUAAGGUGUCAGCCGUCAUAAGCUUAAGAAAAGGAAGAUCUAGCCUAGUCCGUCUUCGGUUGUUCAUUGAUAUGCCAAAUAUUAAAGAAGAAGUCCCAGGUAGUGCUUUAGCUUUAUGAGUUUCGUCUGAGAAAAUUGCCUACGAUAUAUUAUAGUUUGGAUGCUACAACUUUUACCUAAUGCAGAUAUAUGGUGGAGGACGUUUCACUUUAUGACUCGGGUCCAACUGCCGGAAGGAGUAACACCACCAUCUGUUCAAACUACUCAAAAUGAACUUUUAGGGCGAAAGGCAUAAGAAAUGAAGCCACUUCGAAGCAAAAUGCUCAAAAUACAAAGCAGAGUUUGAUCUUUACUUUUCUAUGAUCAAGAAUGCGACGUUCCCUCUAAUUCCAGCAACCGAUGCCACUGCUGCAGGGCCUUCUGAAGGAGGAACCGGAUCUCAAACAGCCAAUGCUGAAGAAGGAACCGGACCUCAAACAGGCAAUGCGUGUUUGAGUUGCUUCUCUUGCUGUGUUUGAUCAGAGUUUUAACGUAGUCAUUCAGGCUAUAUAUAACUGAUGAUUGGAUGUUGUUAUUAUUCUACUUCUGAUUGAUCUCUAUACUUCUAAAACCCCGUCAUGUUUCAUGAGUAACCUAAAAUUGAUCGAACUUGUCAACUCUCUGUCUACUCAUAACCAUAGAUUCGAACACAAAAUUUCUUCACACUUCCUCCGACAUUGGAGUAACCUAAAAGGUUUGAAUAGUUUUGUGCAUUCACAAUGUACCUUUUGCUUU
Molecule: long non-coding RNA, 776 nt
Organism: Solanum tuberosum (potato)
Lineage: Eukaryota; Viridiplantae; Streptophyta; Magnoliopsida; Solanales; Solanaceae
Exons: 4
Source: RefSeq, a predicted model, not a curated record